This 517-nucleotide long non-coding RNA is filed under the name Elaeis guineensis (African oil palm). Its description in RNAcentral is "long non-coding RNA (EGUI_LNC020268)". Lineage: Eukaryota; Viridiplantae; Streptophyta; Magnoliopsida; Arecales; Arecaceae. The record is from RNAcentral.
UCAUUCUCAACGAAUACCUGUACUCUCGCUCUGGUGUCUCCACAUCAUAGACUCAAGAUACAUCUAUCCUAAGAAAGCGAUCGUACACCAACCUUCCGGAUCGAUCACCAUCCUCUUGAUGAUCCUAUAGUCAGGAGCUGUUUAUGAGUUAGUUAUGUAAAUUCAUGCCUUAAAUUUUCAACUCUUAAAAAUAUGAAUUUACAUUCUCACUAACUCAAAGGAUGUAUCACAGAUACAAUGUGAUAGAAGAAUAACCCUUUUAUUCAUUUAUAGUCAAAAUUAUAAAUUUACUCUUAGAUUUGUACAGGAAUGUGUCAGCCGAUCUGGCAUCUAGAGCACACAUCUAAUAAACUCCCACUUGACCUAAUACCAAUUGGCUACAUAUCUAAGUCCCAUCUUCUCAAGGUGGGCUUCGAUCUUCUGUUGGCCCAAUGGCUUAGUCAGCGGGUCUGCCACAUUAUCUGUGGAGUCGACUCUCUUGACCUCGACAUAACCUUUUUUGAGGUAAUCAUGGAUC